Molecule: non-coding RNA, 9053 nt
Organism: Callithrix jacchus (white-tufted-ear marmoset)
Lineage: Eukaryota; Metazoa; Chordata; Mammalia; Primates; Cebidae
Source: RefSeq, a predicted model, not a curated record
CGGAAGCCCGGGGGCUUCCCGUCCCCGAGAGGGCGGAGUCCGCACCAACGCUGCGGGAGAGAGGAGCGGGUUAGGGCCGGGCUUUCUGUGGAUCGGACACUCGAAGGGACGCGUCCGCGCGUGCGAACAAGACCUUCUCCUGACUCCUUCCGAGGGGUCGUCCCCGGACGCGCGGCUUCCGGAGUUCGCCCGGUGUUGUCCCCGCUCACGCGACAGCACCUGCGAGUGAGGAAAGUCUUCCUUCCAACAGAGUCUUUCAGGCAAAACCGUCCAGUUUUGAGCCACCGCCCACCCUGAAGGAAAACCGGAGAUUCUUGCCGCGGUUCCUGACACCUAAGCGGGAGGUGGACGCCCGGCGUUCCCGGCAAAGGCGCACCCCGGGCCCGUCGUGCGCUCCCCGCACCGUCCCUCGGGCCACCGAGCCCCAGCGUCCCGUUUGGAGAGGAGGCGCGCGCUGACCCUCGGGUGUCCCGGGCCCGGCGCGCGCGGGGGGACGGCAGGUCCCGCGGGUCGCUGCAGGAAGACGUGCGGCCGGGACCCCGCGCUGGGACCCGCUGGCCGCCUUCCGCGUGAGGGUGGCCGCACCUUCCCGGGCGCCUGGCAGCGGUUUCCUUCGCGCGCGCCGACGGUCCCCGCGUCCCCGUCCCCUUUGUGCGGCCGGGAGGGGAGCGGCCGCCUGCAGACACCAUGCGGUCCGCCGCGGGCAGGUACGCCGCGAAGAAGAGGAAAAAGCCAGUGCGGAAGAGUCCUAAGCCAGUGCCUCCAGAGGGAGCCAAGACCAACCCCUCCAAAAGGCACCGGGACCGACUGAAUCAAGAGCUGAGCCGACUCACCAACCUGCUACCCUUCCCUGAGGACGUGCGUGCACGGCUGGACAAGCUUUCCGUCCUCAGGCUGAUCGUGGGCUACCUGAAGGUAAAGGGCUACUUUGCAGCCGCCCUAAAGGACAGCAAUGCAGGCUGCUCCACUGACUCACCCAUGAACCCAGGAAGCAGUGAACAGACCUUUCCACAAAUCAGUGUAGAUCUGUUUUCUGAAGGGGACUUGCUGCUUCAGGCCCUCAACGGCUUCCUCAUGGCAGUCACAGAGGAUGGCUACAUCUUUUACGUCUCUCCCACAGUCCAGGACUAUCUGGGAUUUCAUCAGUCAGAUGUCAUCUAUCAGAGUGUGUUCGAGCUGAUCCACAAGGAGGACAGAGCCAUGUUCCAGAGCCAGUUACGCUGGCCUCCAGACACAGCGCCAGUCAGCAGAGAGGCAGAUUCGGACACCAGCCCGCUGCCUGGAGAAAGUUCCCUCCCAUUUAGUGGCACCCCUCCUGCCAGCUUGCAGCAUCUGCCCUUGGAAGACCCUUCCUACCUGGAGAGAAGCUUUGUCUGUCGGUUCCGCUGCCUGCUGGACAAUUCUGGGUUUCUGGAAUUGAAUUUCCAGGGCCAUCUCAAAUUCCUCCCUGGGCAGAACACUAAGUCAGAAGACGGCACCUUCUUGUCUCCUCAGCUAACCCUGUUUGCCACUGCAACACCUCGUCAGCCUCUCACCAUCCUAGAGCUCCAAAACAAAACAUUUCUUUUCCAAACAAAACACAAAUUGGAUUUCACACCUAUAGCCUGUGAUUCCAGAGGGAAGGUGAUUCUGGGCUACACUGACAGCGAGCUCCGCAGGAGGGGAUCCGGCUACCAGUUCAUCCACGCGGCAGACAUGAUGUACUGCGCCGAGAACCACGUGCGGAUGAUGAGGACGGGCGAGAGCGGGCUCACGGUGUUCCGGCUGCUCACCAAGCAGGCCGGCUGGCUGUGGGUGCAGUCCAACGCGCGCCUGCUGUUCCGCGGCGGCCGGCCCGCAUGCAUCGUCGCCAGACAGAGGGCCCUCACGAACUUGGAGGGUGAGGAGCACCUGCGCAAGCGUGACCUGCAGCUGCCAUUCACUUUCACUACUGGGGAGGCCAUCCUGUACGAGAGCAGCCUCCCGAGCACCCUGACUGCCCUCCCAGCCAGGAAGAGGGCCAGGGCUAGGAAGGGUCUUCCAGCUGGCCAGGACCCUUCAUGCCCGAGCUCUCUCUUUGGAACCAUGAUGCAGCAAGAUGAAUCCAUGUACUUGUCCUGCAUUGCCCCCACCCUCCAGGGCCCACCCUUGGAGAGGCAGGGGUCUGACGACAGAUGUGAAGACAGGGAAAAGAAAGAGGAGGAGGAAGGCAGCUCCUUCCUGACCCUCAUUGAGACCUUGCUGGAGAAGGGCAAGGAAGAACAGCCCAAUCUUUGCUCUACUCUCCAGCACCUGGGUGUCACCAGUCUCAGCCAGCAUCUGUGCAAAGAGAAGCUUCAGGGAGCUGACUUGGACCCUGCAGGACCUCAGGACUGCCACCUGCCACCACCCAGCCAAGGAAGAGGACUCCACAGGGAGAAGGAGACCCGUUUUUAUGACAGUGGGAAUGUGGACUUGUCCCCAUCAGCCAGAAUGACUUCUCUGCAGACCCCGAAGCCACUAUCUUCUCUGGCCUCAGGCCCACUAGCCACGGAAGUAGCUCCACCUCCAAACAUGGGCUUGGGGCCCAGCUACCCUCAAGCACAUCCCCCGCAUUUUCUUGUCACUGGCCCCCCUAUCCCUGGCCCCACACUCCAGAACCUCCUCCGAGGCCCCCCACAGUGGUGGCCUCAGCACAGCCAGGCAGUGCCUUUGAACUUUGAGAUGUGCCGGAAGCCAGCCUUUGACCUCAGCCCACUGCCCCCGGCCUCCAGCCCAAGCCGCCCUGCUGAGGGUUUUCAGCCAAGCCACACACCUUUUCUCUCUGUAGGAGAAAAUGUUCCUGGACACCUGGCUCCACCACGCCCUGGUGUUCUGGAUUUUUGCAAAGAAUCUAUGCCCUGGACCUCCACACACAGUGGUCAGGAUCAGGGGUCCUUGAUCUCCUCAGACCCUGCUUUCUGUGUCAACCCAUGUGGUACCCACCAUUUGGGCAGCAUUUGGGAUUCCCCCAUCCAGGGCUACUCAUUUGCAGUCCCCAUGGAGGUGGCGGCAGGGCAGGCCCAGCCUGACCCCUUCAGCCACCUGGGGGUGGUUGACCCCUGCCUUCCAUGGACAGGGCCGCCCAGUCCCAGCUUAUGCAGGGGUCAGCCCCCAUCCAUGCAAGGGGCACCUGGGACACCAGAGGAAACAUCUGGAGUUGGAGAGCAUCCACCCCACUUUGGGGCCAGGCCAGCUUUCCAGGACUCCAGUCUGUCCUUCUCAAGUACUUCUGGAUAGACCCUCAGCCAUGCGGGGCUCUUACACUGCAGAGCCAGGAGCACUAUGAGCCAGUGAGAGAAGAGGCACCAAGUGUCCAUCACCAGGCUGGCCACCCGAGAGACACCACUCCCCAGGCUCCUCAGCAGAACCCCUUCCCCUCCCCUGACACUACCAACAGCUCCCCACAUGCAGGUGGCAACCGCUACAGCAGCCCAGCAGAGCUCAUGCGACAGGCCAAAGACAGACCACAGGUGCCACCUAGCCUGGCCCAGCCUAUCUGCCCCCCCUGACCUAAAGAUACAAAAAAUUAGCUGGGUGUAGUGGCGUGUGCCUGUAAUCCCAGCUACUCAGGAGGCUGAGGCAGGAGAAUUGCCUGGGCCCAGGAGGCAGAGGUUGCAGUGAGCCGAGAUUGCGCCAUUGUGCUCCAGCCUGGGCAACAAGAGCGAAACUCUGUCUCAAAAAAAAACCUAAUAAGACUCAUAGAAUACACCCAGAUGCUCACCUGGUUUCUAACUUUGUGGGCAUCUGGCCUAAAAGCCCUGACGCAGGUGCGCAAUGUGCCUGGUGGCCAGGGCUCUGUGCGCCUGGUGAGUCUGUGCACCUGGUGGGACUGUGCGCUCCUUUUGGCCUCCUGCCUCCCAUCCUGGUACGUUGGAGAUGUUGUUUCGGGAAUCGCAGGUGUGCAGUUUCUCUGGAUAGAUUUUGACCAGGACAAUUAGUGAAUGGACACCUCUGGUUAUGCUGUGGUGGGCUGUGUCGGGCUGGAGGGGUUGAUGUGUGUAUGGUAACAACAUGGGAAUGUUAGCAUGAUGGGGUGUGUUUGUGCACACAUACAGGAGUGGUGAGUCUGGCCUGGGGUGCAGGACACAAACCCUUGGAUAUCCCCAGCUCUGGCAAGCCCCUGGCAACCAGACUUUAGUUCACAAAGUACGGUGUUUAUGAUGGUGUUUUUUUUCUCACUCUCGCCCAUUCUGGAGUGCAGUGGUGUGAUCUCAGCUCACUGCAACUUCUGCCCCCAGGGUUCAAACAAUCCUCCUGCCUCAGCCUCCUGAGUAGCUGGGACUACAGGCACAUGCCACCAUGCCUGGCUAAUUUUUGUAUUUUUCACCGUGUUGGCCUUCCAGUGCCCCCACCAAGGUCUGCCCGAGCUGGAGUGGAGCUGGGUUCUCCAACAUGGAGAACCUGCUGCUGAAAACUAUUCCGGGUAAUUUCUCAUGGUUACUCUGCAAAGAUAUUGUGAUGGCUGCAGGUUCCUGGUGUUUCACCAUGUCGGUCAGGCUGGUCUUGAACUCCUGACCUCAGGUAAUCCACCUGCCUUGGCCUCCCAAAGUGCUGGGAUUACAGGCGUGAGCCACUGCACCUGGCCUAUGGUGCAUUUUUGAUAUUCUUUUUUUGUGGACGUCUUUAAAAAUCAAACCUGCAGUGAGUGUCUCAGACUCAAACCCGGGAACACGGGAGAAACAAGCUCUAGUCGCAAUGGAGCCCAGGGGAUGACACUGGCGGUGCGGCCACCCGCCGGCUCCGGGCAGCUGGCGGGUGCUGGUCAGCGCUGGGUUAAGGUGGCUUUCUAGCUGUGCCCUGUGGUGAGGUUUCUGUGCCAGAGUCCUUCAUGUUUGCAAGAUGACAGCUGGAGCAUCUGACCCCAGAGGCCACAAAGCAAUCUCAAUAUUGUGACAGGAAGGCCUCAUCCCGGACACACUUGACUGGUUCUUUAGAAAAACGCUUCUCCACACACACGCAGACACAUGCCUUGCCGUGCCCUGAGGGGUCCAGACGGUGCACUUGAGGCCUCUUUCUCUGGAAUUCAGCUGUCAACUGCAUCAGCAGCCUUUUCGCACAGCAGGGAGUUUGCUAAUGUGUGUGCAGCCAAAUGAACAUGCAUAAAACCCCGGACAGCCGGGAACCCCCAGCCACCACAGUCUCUCUGCAGAGUAACCGUGAGAAAUUACCCAAAGGGUUUUUAGCCACAGGUUCUCCACAUUGGAGAACCCAGCUCCACUCCAGCUCGGGCAGACCUCGGUGGGGGCACUGGAAGGCCGGGCAUGUCCAGCCUCUCGGGUGUUGCCCUCACCAUGGUCAGUCCCGUCUCCCUGGGUUCCUUGAGUGUGGUGGGCUUGGCCUGGGUGACUUACCAGCUCGCACAUCACUUGCCUGUGUGGAGUCCUGAGUGAGGGACCCGGUGAGCCAAGGCUGAGUCCUUUAGUCCUGGGGCACUGAGUCCUCUACACUAGAAUUCCACAGCUGGCAUGGAGGACAUAGGCACAGCACAGGUGUCAGUGUGAACAGGACACACGAGGCUGAGUGCAGCCAGGUGUCUCUGUUGACCUUGGGGUUUGGUCCGUCACCAAAGGAUGCUCAGCCCAUAGCCUCCCUUAGUACAAAGAUUGUCAGCUCCACUGCACAACCCGUGUUUUCAGAGACAAGGUCUCACCCUGUGGCCCAGGCUGCAGUGCAGUGGCACGAUCAUAGCUCACUGCAUCCUGACCUCCCAGCCUCAGCCUCCCAAGUAGCUGGAACCACAGACAACUGCCACCACACCAAAAGUGGCUCCUGCAACUUUUAAAAAUAAUUAUUUUUAUUUGUUGUAGAGACAAGGUCUCAUUGUUACCCAGGCUGGUCUCAAACUCCUGGUCUCAAGUGAUGCUCCUGCCUUGGCUUCCCAAAGUGCUGGGAGUAUAGGAGUGAGCCACCAUGUCUGGCCCUCCUGAAACUUUGUAAAAAGUCAGAGAGUGAGUGAGUUCUUGGCCUCACAAAUGUGUUCAGGGUGGUUUUCCUUUAACUGGGAGGCUUUUGGAGGUUGCCUUAGUGAACUGGAUCCUGGCCCAGCCUGGAGAUGAACUGGAGGUCAGAGGUUGAUCAGGUCACACCCUGGCUGUGCAUCAGUGCCCCAUUCCAACCUGCACCUCCUAGCUGUUGGCCUGUCACAGAGUGCGUCUGGACGUUCCACGGGUGUCUGGGACACCAUCAUGCUCUGUGGCCAAACAAGGGGGGGGGGUCCCACAGCCAGCUUCAGAAGGUGACUGACCCCCAUGUGUGACCAAAGAUCCCUCUCUCCUCCCAUAAUUGUAUCACAUGCUGGGUCCCCAGAGGGACACUUUGGCCCCUGCCAACCAGGGCCUAUGGAGAGCUUAUCAUGAGAACCUGCAGGGCCACUGGGAGGACAGGAUGAGGCAAUUGCCUCUGGCUUCUUGCUCUCAUUGGACAAAACCAACCAAAACUUGAGUCCAGGGAGGCUGCUGGAGUCCCCCCUGCAGGCAGCACACAGGAUGCAGAGGGGUUGAGGCGGGCUCUGGAGGUGAAUGGGGGGUGUCCUGGACACUCCAGGACAGGCCAGAGGCGCUCAGCAGCUCCAGCAGCCAUCUGCCCACCUCAGCACUUGCACCCUACAGGGAGGCUUUGGGUUUUUCGUAGAAGCCAUCAGUGGCCAGUGCCUGGGGAAGGCCUGUGCCCAUCACCCUGCCACAAGCAAGGAGCAAGCUCGCCCCUAAGAGUCUGAGUGAAGAACAAGGAGGCCAGGGGGAGCCCCAUCCCCAGGAGCAGGUGGGUAUUUGUCGGGGGAGGCCCAUAGAUAGCAUCUGAGGAAAGAUGGGCAGCCCAGAGUCCACGCAGCACAUCAGGGCUCUCCCAUGGGUGCUCACUGUUGGCUGAUGUCAUAGGCAUGGUGGCCUUAGCGGCAUCUAAUUUGUCUACUUGUUUUGAGUUUACAUUGAGUUGAUAUCAGUAUAUGAUUGUUAUAUGAUUAAAAACAACUUAGUUUUGCAUUCGUGAGUUAUGAGGGUUUUUUUCUUUAGAAAUUGUCCAUACAUUUUUCAUAUAAGAAGCACUGGCCUUGCAUGACCCGGGACCCAUGUAGUGCAAUGGGUGUUGAUCAGGACAUGCUGCACUUUGCUGUGAAGACGGUCCCCCUCACUGGGAUCUUGGGAAGGUUUUUUCUUUGCGGGGGGACUGUUUCUGAUCUUCCUGCAUUUCAGGGAUGUGGUGAGGAUGACGUAUAUCGAAGUGCUGAGGAAUCUGCACAAGAGACACGCUCCAGCCCGUCACUCAUCAAUCCGUCCAUCCAUUUCCCAAAUCUCUCUUGAACUCUUUAUCCCUGUGCUCGGGGCAGGCCAAUUCACACUUAGGGAUGCCCACAGAGCCCUGAAAGUCACAUUAGUCCUCAUUUACAGAUUAAUAAAUGGAGCUUGAAGAGGUUAAGAGGCUUCCCCAAGGUCACCCAGCUGCCAGGCAGGCACCAGACUGACCAUGCGUUGUGACAGGCACUGGAGUGAUGGACGAGAUGAGGUUUUGCCACAUUACCCAGGCUGGGGUAUGAUGCAUCUUAAAGCAGAGAUUAUUGCUGACAGUUUUACAGAUGAAGAAAUGGGUAACACAUGAAAAUAUAGAGAAUGAGAAGAGCCCUGACAGGAAUGCAUAAAUUUGUUUUUUAUGCACUAGAACAAGAUUAAUGUAAAAUGAUUUCUAUUAAAAUAAAUGCAGAUGAAAAUCCCGCCGUAGUCCUCUAUUUCCAUCCCAGUACAAAAAUUCACCCGAACUUCAAGUUAAGUCUGAAUACAAAAGACACAAAAGUUGGCGGGGGUGCAAAACGUAAGUUCAACAUUUUAAACACUAUUUUUAGUAAUUUAAUGUUAUAUGUUACACUUGUCAUAUUUUGGAGGGAUACAUUUAUUUAAAUAUUCCUCACUAAAAUUCCUCUGAAAAGUGCUGUAUUUGUUAGGGUUUUCCAGAGAAAUUGUGUGUGUGUGUGCGUGUGUGCAUCUAUAUCUAUAUCUCUGUAUCUAUAGAGAGAUAUUUAUUUUGAGGAAUUGGCUCAUGCAGUAGUGGAGACUGGGAAGUCCAGAAUCUGCAAGAUAAGUCAGCAGGCUGGAGCCUAGGGAAGAGCCAGUGCUGAAGUUUGAGUCUGCUGGCAGAAUUCCCUGCUCUUUGCGGGAGGUCAGUCUUUUUUCUCUUGGGGCCUUUAACUGACUGGAUGAGGCCCAGCCACAUUAUGGAAGAUCAUCUGCUUUACUCAAGGUCUUUUGAUUUAAAUGUUAAUCAUAUCUUUAAAAAUACCUUUACGGAAACAUCUUGAAUCAUGUUUGACUGUUUAUCUGGGAAGUGUGUUUUAGUCAAGUUAACACAUAACAUUAACCAUCAUUCACAAAUACCUUUCAUUUAAUUUGAAUAAAUCAUACUUAGUGAUUUAAAGAUUCUUUAAAAACAGAACUUGCAUCUACUCAAGUCUUUAGAGGUAAAUUCUACUCUGCAGGAAGCACAGGGGUUAGAAGGGCUAGCUAAACAGCAAGGAAAUGUAGUCACAUCCGAAUGUAGGCAUUCUGUGGGAUGACUGACUCGGCCUCCUCCGCAUGCCAAUAGCAGGACAAAUGCACACCACACAAAGGGUGGAAGCGGGGCUGGGAGAGGUGUCUGUGGUAGUAAGAGGUGUAAGAGACACAGGAACAAAAUACAAUGUGUGAACCUUGUUUCAACUCUGAUGGGAAUAAAACAUUGAACUGUGAAAAGAUUUUCUUUUUUAGACAGUAUGAGUUUGAAUAUGAACCAGGUACAACUGACAUUUAAAAAUUAUGAUUUUUCAUAGGUGUGAAAAUGGCAUUGUGGUUACAUAAGAAAAUGUCUUUCUUAAAAUUUGAGAUGCAACUAUUUUUAUUGGUGAAACUGCAAAACGUUUGAAAUCUACUUUAAAAUUACUCCAGCAAAAAGAAAGAUUAGAAUCUGUAAAACAAAUAUGGCAGAAUAUUUUUGAUUGUUGAACUUGGGUGAUGUAUAUUGGGUUCACUGCAAUUUCUACUUUUGUGUAUGUUUGGAAAUUUUCAUCAAUAAAAGUACAAAAUAAGUAA